GCGGGUGUAGUACAGUGGCUAGUAUGUAAGCCUUCCAAGCUCGAGACGGGAGUUCGAUUCUCCCCACCCGCACCA
This 75-nucleotide transfer RNA is filed under the name Candidatus Saccharibacteria bacterium RIFCSPHIGHO2_01_FULL_45_15. RNAcentral describes it as "tRNA-Gly". It matches the Rfam family "tRNA". From Rfam's summary of the family: Transfer RNA (tRNA) molecules are approximately 80 nucleotides in length. Their secondary structure includes four short double-helical elements and three loops (D, anti-codon, and T loops). Lineage: Bacteria; Candidatus Saccharimonadota. The record is from RNAcentral. RNAcentral also lists the same sequence under 6 other names.